RNAcentral lists this ribosomal RNA (253 nucleotides) under uncultured bacterium. RNAcentral's name for it is "partial 16S ribosomal RNA". It matches the Rfam family "Bacterial small subunit ribosomal RNA", at positions 524 to 776 of the family's 1533-position model. The record is from RNAcentral.
UACGGGGGGGGCAAGCGUUGUUCGGAAUUACUGGGCGUAAAGGGCUCGUAGGCGGCCAACUAAGUCAGACGUGAAAUCCCUCGGCUUAACCGGGGAACUGCGUCUGAUACUGGAUGGCUCGAGUUUGGGAGAGGGAUGCGGAAUUCCAGGUGUAGCGGUGAAAUGCGUAGAUAUCUGGAGGAACACCGGUGGCGAAGGCGGCAUCCUGGACCAACGCUGACGCUGAGGAGCGAAAGCCAGGGGAGCAAACGGG